RNAcentral lists this unclassified non-coding RNA (1255 nucleotides) under Hevea brasiliensis (rubber tree). The record is from RNAcentral. Lineage: Eukaryota; Viridiplantae; Streptophyta; Magnoliopsida; Malpighiales; Euphorbiaceae.
CUCAAAAUGGUAACAUGUUGAUGGAUAUAUUACAUCAGCAGCAGCAGCAGCAGCAGCAACAUCAUCAACAACCACAGCAGUCUUCUCUAUCAGAGCCCGGCCUUUCAAUUAAUGUGCAGCCAUCUUGCCUUGUGGUCCCUUCUCAGUCAUCAGCCAGUUUUCAGGCAGGAAAUAGUCCUGCAUCAGUCAAUCAGAGUUGCAACUUUAACAGGAAUGCUGUCAUUGAUUACAGCCUUCUAUCAUCCCAGUCAAAUAAUUCAUCAUUGAAUAUUGGGCACGUUCCAGAUGGGAAUUUAAAAACUACAGUUGUUGUUAGUGGGUACUCAGUCCCUGGUACCAUAUCUCCUUCUGCAUCAUCAUCUUCUGUCAAUGCUGACAGUGGCAUCAAUCGUCAAUUUCAAAAUUCGACUAUUACCUUUGGAGCUGCUAGACAUUUACCAGGGCUUGCUUCUAAUAUUUGUGACGUCCAGGGUUCUUAUGGUGCUAAGUCAGGUGAAGUUCUUGAUCAAGGACCACUUAGGUACCUUGGAUUUGUUGGUAAAGGGACUUUCCUUCCUAGCCAGUUUUCAGUGGAUGAAUUUACAGCACCAAUUAGCAACUUGAGCCAAGGAAAAACUUAUGUAGAGAACAAUGGCAGUAAAGUGAAGCAGGAGCCAAAUAUGGAAUUCACAGAUGACGCAAGAGUGGGGGUCUCAGUAUUGCAGCAAUUUCCUCCAAAUGAUCUCAUGAGUGUUUUCACAGAAUAGGCCUUAUUUGUGUGGUUGGGGCAAUUUGUUAAUUUUCAUGGAAGCACAGAUUAUUUGGUAUCAGAAGGGAUUCAUGUCGAAGUCCAUCAUUUAUUAUCGGCUUUAUUUACAGUGCCUGCACUGUUCUCAGGCGAACUCUGGAGCCUCCUCAGUAUUUACAGCAUUGAAAAGAAAAAUUGUGCCUUUUGUGUAAUUUCCAUUGAAAGUGCUGGGGCGAAGCUCUACAUGCAUCAAGUAGUAUUUCCUUUUCGUUAGUCCGUAGGAAAAAUAAGUUGUGUUAGAUUCCAACAGCUUGAAAUGAAGUCCCACGUGAUGGCAUCUUGCUAUCUUAGUUGUGUAGUUAUUUGGGUACGAUGAUGGAAAUGCUAAUUCGUUUAUAUUAUGCAAUUCGUUCAGGAAGUGCGGUUCUUUGUACUCUCUUGUUAGAUUAUAAUAAUUUCACCUCGCAUCUUUAGGAUUUUGAAACUCCUUUUACUGCUCAUGUCGCAAGCUAUCAGUUCUAUGCCAAA